Molecule: transfer RNA, 67 nt
Filed under: Sparganum proliferum
Lineage: Eukaryota; Metazoa; Platyhelminthes; Cestoda; Diphyllobothriidea; Diphyllobothriidae
Description: trnY(gta)
Source: RNAcentral
UCUGAUCUAGCAUAUAUACAAUGCAUUGGAUUGUAAAUCCUCGUAAAGCUAAUAGAGUUGGUCAGGU